RNAcentral lists this long non-coding RNA (13240 nucleotides) under Setaria italica (foxtail millet). Its description in RNAcentral is "long non-coding RNA (SITA_LNC005328)". The record is from RNAcentral. Lineage: Eukaryota; Viridiplantae; Streptophyta; Magnoliopsida; Poales; Poaceae.
CGCGUACCUGUCCUGCUUGGGCUUGAGCAGCGGGUCCAGCUCAUUGACCUUCUUGGCGUGCUUCAUGAAUGAGCUGCCCUCUAGGAUGUGCUCCAUGAUGGCGGCGGCCUCGAUGGAGCCAGGGUGGUGCUUGAGCUUGUGGGUGAGGUGGUCGGUGUACUCGGGCUUGCCGUUCAUCACCUCGCAGAAGACGGCGGACAGGACCUCGGACAGGACGGCGAGGACGUUGGCGUCGAAGCACACCAUGGCGCCGAGCGCCGAGCCGACGGACGUGCCAUUGACGAUGGCGAGGCCCUCCUUGGGGUUGAGCUUGAAGAAGCCGCCUUCGAUGCCGGCGACCUUGAACGCCUCGGCGGCGUCCACCUUCCUGCCGUCGACGGUGACGGCCUGCGCGUUGGGGCGGCCGGUGAUGAGGCCGGCAAUGUAGGAGAGGGGGACGAGGUCGCCGGACGCGGUGAUGGUGCCCCGGAGCGGCAGGCACGGGCUGACGCCGGUGUUGAUGAGCUUGGUGAUGGCCUCGAGGAUCUCGAAGCGGAUGCCGGAGUAGCCCUGGAGCAGGGUGUUGAUGCGGACGAGCAUGGCCGCACGUGACACCUCGGACGGGAGCGUGUGGCCGUCGGAGCCAUUGCCGAAGAUUCCGGCGUUGAGAUGCCUGGUUCGAGAGGACAAAACAUUUCGAGCUCAGCCUACGAAAAAUGUUCGAAGAAUCUGUCGGGCCUGUCAGAGUGAGCCGCUGACAGACAUCACUCCAGAGCCUGAACACAUCCGCGCCAAUUGCAACUUGCAACAACUGACCAGUCGUUGUCAGUGGGCGCGCACAUAAAUCAUUUGGAGCUGCAACCACUCCACGGCACUUUACUGGAACAAGAAGUAAACAAAGAGAAAGACAUGUGGGUUCGUGAUGAGUACCUGAGCAGCUCGACCUGGAGCGCGGGCCCGUCCUUGGUGCGGCGGUGCGAGGUGCCGCCGAAGCCGGUGGUGACGCCGUAGAUGUCGCCGCCGUGGGCAAUGCAGUCGAGGAUCCACUCGCUGCUGGCCUUGACGCGGGGGCGGGCAUCUUCGUCGAGCUCGACGGCCACGCCGGACGCGUCCUUGGCGGCGGCCACGGCCGCCACCUGGCCGACGCGGAGGCUGGAGCCCUCGAUCUUGACGAGGGGCUCGCGGAACUGCGCCACCAUGCGCUUCACCUCGUCGAGGUGGCUCCCCGCCAUCUCCGCGGCCGCCUUGCCCCAAUUGAGCGGGUCGCUCUCGAGGAUGGCCGUGUUGCUCGCCAUUUCUGCUGAGAAGCGAGGAGGAGGAGCUGCGGUGUGGUGGUAGUAGGUGGUAAGAAGAAGAGCUCGGGAGGUUGUGCGGAGGACUGCGAAGCUCUUCCUGAGGGAAACGGAGCUCGGAGGCGGCAGUUUAUAAAGCAACCGGGGGCCGGAGGGUUUAGGUGAAGCCGGGUGUUGGUGGGUGGGUUGGCGACCGGGUUGGUGUGUGGUGUGGUUGAUCUGAGAGAAGAGUGGGAUUCUCUCCCCAUUUUUUUUCUUGUUUUCCUCUAUUUUUUUUCCUCUUGACAUGGCGAGAGUAUGUGCGUGCAGGUGGCUGUAUGUUGACAUUGUAGAGCUGAGCUCCAGUGAUGCAGCCCAGCGUGCGCUGGUUGGAAUUGAAGACAGGUGGCUGUAUGUGCCGAUGUGCGUUGGUUGGUCGGGGGAUGAAGAGGCCUUUGGCCUUCGCAACGGAGAAAGUCCAACUACAGUGUGACUCCAGUUGUUGUCUCUAGUAGCCGCCGUAGGACUGCAACCCAUUGACCCUCUUGAUUAAUCCGCGGGCCGCCACCUGAUCCUUUCAGAAGUUUUAUGCCGUUUUUUCUUACAUUCCUACCAGAACUAAAACUUCUUUUUGUCGUGAAAUUUAUGCAAACUUUUAUAGGGUUUGCGGGGUAACGAAUUGACUCAUACAGAAGAGGAGAGUGGUUUAUCAUUUUUGUCGCCCCAUAGAUGUGGCGUGAAAAUUUCUCGGUAUAAAUUAACCACGUGCCAUAUAUGAUUGAUGAAUUGGUAGUGAUGGAUCAAGGCUAGUCCGUUCCAUUUCCUAAACCAAAUGACGAUUCCGUUUCCUAGGUAGAGUUGCGUGAUCUAUGUGCAGCCAACUUAACUAAACACCAUUAUCUUUCAUAUUCUUCAAAAGAAAUUAAAAGCUUUGAUCUUAUUUGUCUUCUGGAAGUACGGAAAACGAACUUGUCGCAGAAUUGUCUUGAUAGUUGCGCUCCGACGGCCGAGUCCAAGCCCCUCACAACCACCGCAUUGCCCCACCCGUUCCUUGACUACCACCCACCCCGUCCCGACUCGCCGGAGGACAACUUCCUCACGUGCCGCCUCACCGACGUGGUGGUCACCUCGCCUCGUCCCGACACCCUCCCGCUGCUCCCAUUCCUGCCACUCCUCCACCUGAUCCACCUCCUCCUUGUGCUACAGCCCCUGUGCUAGCUCGGCUGGGGCCUAGCGGCGGCGCGAGGAGGUCCUUUCCUGCGCGAGCUGCUUGGCUACCUGAGGAAGAAGAAGAGGGGAAUAAGAGGAUGACAGGUGGGACCAUGAGUUGGGGCAAGAAUGACAAUUGACCUUCAAACUCCUCUUUUCUGGAGCUAGGGACACCCUCCCAGCCAAACACCUCCAACAGACAGCUCCGACUCCACCUAGAGCUGGCUCCACCUGGAGUUCUGGAGUGGAGCAGCUCCACCCAGAGUUGAAGCCAUGCCAAACAGGGCCUAUCUAUGCUUAUUUAUAAGAAUACCGUGCAUUAAUUGGAACAUGGAAAACCACCCAGGAAAACAGUGCAAUCACAAGGACUACAUGGCUCUGAUCUUGGCUAAUUAAUCAGAGACUCUAAGUUGGGGUAAUCUUACCAAAAGGGCAAGAGGGGAGGCGUUGAUGGGGUAUAGCUCGGCCCUCAAGCUUAUUUGCUCUAUGGUAGCUUCGCAGUCUUGAGAGAGGUUUAUGCUCUGCUUUGACCUAAAACCUUAGCGGGUUACUACUUACUAGGAAAUCUUUGUAAAGACCUCAUAGCGUCUCUAUGCAAUCACACCUCGGUAGUGUGAUAAGUGGCUACUUUUCACAGCAUGGUUGGGUCUAAAGUUCUUCUGAACUUUUACGUGACUUGUGGUGAAAGUGUACAACCUCUGCAGAGUGUGUAAAACUGAUAUAUCAGUCGUACUUACGGUUAAGAGCAGCCUGGACCCUCACAUGAUUAAUAAACUUGAAGAUGGAAUUAAAUCGUUAUUCUGAUUAUUUCUUGUGACCUUGUUGAGUACCAACCAUAAGUGCACUCAUCCUUGCUUACUGCUGCUCAGGAAAGGAAGGUGUGUGAAGUUAUUGAAGAUGAUGCUAAACGUACGCAACCCCUAGUCGAUUGCCUGUGAAGUUUGGAGCCUUCAUUUCCAGGAUUAAGCUAUAUAUCUCUAAUAGACUCAUAAGUCAUUAUUUAUAUUCCUUUACGUGAUAAUGUUACUAUUAUUCACUGAUAAUGUCACUAUAUGUAUGAAACUUGAUCCUGGCAUACAUAUACAUAUAGAUAGCAUUUGGUUUUAUUUUAAAACCAGGUGUAACAGUUGCUUGAUCCUUGAUUGGGGAUCUUAAAAUGCAUGUUUAGAGUUUAAGAACUUAGAUGACACCACGAGAUAAGUUGAGGGACAUGAAAAUAUGUUUUGAGAGUUUAGAGACCCGAUGUCAUCUUGAGAUAAGUUUAUGAACCUAAAAAUGUAUUUUGAGAGUUUAAGGACUUAGGUGACACUUACGACAAGUUGAAGGAUUGCCCGCGUAUUUACUCUUAUGAUUAUUAUUAUGUAUCUACUAGAGGUCUUAGUCAUGUCUUCAAAAUUAUUUGAUUUCAUCUCUGGAUUGUGUGUUUCUCACUGUUUUCUAAGUUGUAAUAACAAACGGUUAUGUAUAUCCUUAAUUAGUGCAGCGGCCAUAAAAAUCUUAUUUCUUCAUCUUAAAAAAGUAUACCACCGACCCGCUUCCCCAACCAAACCCAAAUAACGUUACAUUCACGACAUGACAUUGCGACAUUUUAAGGUGCAUGCCCAUUCUCACCAACCCUCUUUCUCCAUCGUCCGCGCUCUCAACAAAACCCAGGUGUUGACAGGAAGCAACCAGCCAGUAGUCCGCCCGCAACGGGGAAUCGAUUUCGGAGGGCCAGGUUUCUAUGGCGACGGGACGACGGAGCGUUGACUUCCGGUCCCGCGACGCGCGUGGUACGUGCAGCGCCGCCGCCGAAUCAUCACGGCAGACGCCGGUUCUGUUGUACCGCACCGCCGCCGAAUCAUCACGGCAGACGCCGGUUCUGUUGUACCGCGCCGCCGUGUCGAACGCCGGCCGGGUGCCAACGCUAACCGUUCCACCGCGACUGCGGUCACGUAGCGCCGAAGCCGGCCAGGCCCGAUCACCUCACUUCCCUUUUCAGGUUUUCAGCGUAGCGGAUGAGCGCAAAACCGAUCGACCGGUCUCACCAACCCUGAAAGGGAGAAACGAGGGUUGUUGGGACCUGGAAAUCACCAAUAAUUGUACUCGCUCAACCAAUCGCUACAUCCUGUAGUUCCCUCGCGUGCGAUGGCAGCCUUUUUCUUAUCGUCUGGUUCGUGAUCUCGAUCUCUCUCGUACGCGAUGAGCAACGUCACCCUACGUAUAUGGUGGUCGAAACUUGUACUCGUCGAUCAGCCCUGGCAAAGUGGCAAGGCACGCUUUAUUUGUCCUUUAACCUCCGGGAUUUGCUAGCCUUUGUCUUAUGCUCUGCAGUCUGCACUGCACGUACCUGUGGAACCAGGAGCCAUGCUGUUGUACUAUAGCUCAAAUGGGGCAUUGAGGCACAGAUGAGCUUGAGCUAGUGGACCCUAUUACUGAUGAGCUCCGAGCUCUGAGAUGAGGGACCAGCGCUAGGAAAAAAGAGCUCUAUAGAAACUUUAGUACGUAGGAUUUGGUCUCGAAUUUGAACGAACAUCUGGAGCUACGGGUCAAGACUACCUCUGAUCAAACGUGCCAGCACGAGCAGGUCGAGACAGCCAUGCGCCCAUGCAUGGUUUCUAACCAGCACAGUUGGUUGAGGUGACCGGUUGAUUGCCAGAGUUUGGAUAUUAACAUUUAGCAGCCUGACCAGCUGCGCUGUGUGCUGGUUGUUUGUUACCGGCGUUUUCGAGCAUCGAAGAUGCUCUGCAACGAGCCGCGAUAAAAUGAAAAAUAUGCUAAAAAUCGUUUAAAUCAAGCACGCAGAAGCUGUACGUUCAAACGGGCCAGUUGGCCCGGAGAAACCUAAAUGGUCCUAUUACUAAUGGUCUCGCUCUUGAGCGAGUACUAAGUUUAAGGAUUUUAUUUCGAAUUUGAACGUGAAUCUAGUGGUUUUUUUAGAGUCUCUCAACUUUUGAAGCUAUGAAUAUGACUGAUUGUUCUGCGUUGAACAACAUGGAGGAUCUGAAAGAUCUGUUUAACUCUAAUGCAGGCUGCAAAUCAGCUCGCGAGUGGUGCAAGACGUACCAGUCAAUCUGAUCUGAAAAUUAACGAGGUAAACAUUAAAUUCCUGAACCGAUCGGUGGCAAAUCCUUUCGAAUCUAUGGGUAGGCGUUCUUGGAAUAAACACCACAACAGAUAGAUAUUUAAUGUAAGCAUGCAGUGUAAAUGAAUAAAAUAUUAAUGGCAUGCGCCAUCGGCUAUAUCAGCGGACGGGCUAAGAUAAAGCAUUGUAACAGAACAGUCAUAAAAGGGGAGCUCUUGUUAACCACGCGCUUAUCAGAUAAGCUAACAGAUCUAGCCGGUCUUGACAGGUGUAUUGAACUCAGAUAAAGUAACACGAAUGAGAGGGCAUUAGCAUCAAUCUACUAACUUAAAAGAUUAGAACAUAGCAACAAGAAACAGUCGAUGUUGACUCUACGCAAGUCAGAUAUAUUGACAGAUCUUAAUUAAUGUCUUGAUAAGUGCAUUGAACUUAGACAAGGCAACACGAAUGAGAGAGCAUUAACCUCGAUCUGACAAUGUAAAAGACUAGAGCACAAUCACCAAAGACCUCUUGCCUACCGCUUACAAGCCUAUUAAUGUAACAAAGUCUAAUCAAUGUCAUGACCAUGUAAUUGAACUUAAACAAGUAACACGGUGAGAGUGCAUUAAUUUUGACCCGUUAAUCUUAACAGACAGGCUCGCAACAACAAGGCCUCGCAUGCACCCCUAUCGACUCAAUGACAUCAUCAUGCUUCCGUGAGAUACGGAUAAGACCCGACCAAAGCAUUGGCUCUUAAUGGUAGCGCGCUGACGUUAGAGGCUUGACGGUUAGCAAUAUGAGGGGCAGGAGGUAAAGAUCUAUCGGACCUAGCAUAUAUAAAGUACUAAACGCAUGCAGAGUCUACCAGCUAAUACGAUCUGAUAAUUGUGAACGUUUAAACAAGGCAAGGGGGGCGAUGAAGACAACCUAACCAGAUUUAAGCCGUUCAAUAACUUGAGCAACGUUGAAAACAAGCAAAAUAUUGGACAAAGUCUAAAAAUUUCUACUUGCAAUCUAAGAUAACUCGAUAACUAGCCACACAAUAUCAGAAUAUGAGACUUAACUCAGAAAGUUCUUAUAGAGGUUGUAAUGACCGAGUGACGGUACUUACAACCUCGCCUGAGGUCGAAGCCAAUGCCGUCUUGCGCGCUAGAAGGAACUCAAUCGAAUCUACUCUACUCCUACUCCUAUAAUUUUAGCGUGGCAUCUAAAGAUUGUAUUGAUUGAUUGAUGAUUUUUUAUUGCAAAGCUCAUGGGCUUAUAUUUAUACUCUGGAGCAAACUAAAAUCCUAGUCGAAUACGACAUGAACUAUUACAACUAUUUCUAAAAACUACUAAAGAUAAAUCUCCAUGCUUUCCCUUAUUUGGUUGAGUCGAUUUCGCUUCGGACUGGACCCGCUUGAUCUUCCAUCGCUUCUAGAAUCAUGAUCAAUAGCGGCCAGUCUUGAUCAACGUGGCGCCAACUUCAGGCUCUUUCUCUCUCCUCUAUUGGCUGUUAGAACCUUAUCCGCAACGGUUGAUUCUGGUCAAAAACCAGUAUCAACAUUGAUCUGUGUCCAAAUUAAAUAUGCCGUCACCAAGACGGAAGCACCCUGCAUUGUUUUAAACAAGGAAAAGAAACUAGCAGUAACCAGUAAGCACCAGAUCUUAGCAUUUGUCCAGUUCACGAUCUACACCUAUAUGCAAGUGAGAAUUGGAACUAAGCACUGCUGGGAAAGCGCCUUCAGUACCGGUUCCUAACCCCCUUAGUGUCGGUUGUGCAACCGGUAUUACUACUUCGAUACUAAAGGGGGGGCUUUAGUACCGGGUCAAAUAAUCGGUACUAAAGGGGUAUUAAAAAAUAAAAAAGGAAAUCCGCCGACCAGAGCUCCGCCCGCACCCUACCGCUGUCAGCCAGAGCGCCGGAGCGUCGGAGCUCCGGCCGCACCCUGCCACCGUCCACCAGAGCGCCGGAGCCGUGACCGCACAACACCUGAGCCCCGCACCAGAGGAAGGGAGGGAGAGAGGGAGGCAGCGUACUUACGCUGCUCAGCCACCGCCGCCGGUUGCUACCGUCGCUACUCCUCAGCCUGUCGAUUGCCGCCGUUGCCGGAUCUGAGGGAGAGGUGGCCGCUACUCCAAGAUCCACGCGCUCCUUACUCCGCCACACUUGCUGACGCUCCGCCACUCCUUGCCCCGCCACCACUCCUUGCUCCGCCAUGCCCUGCUGACGCUCUGCCGUCUCACCGCACCCUCCCUUCUUGCCUUUACCGCUCCUUGCCCUGUUGCCGCUCCUUGCUACAUGUAAGAGGUGAGGGGCGAGCGCGGAGGGGGGAGGAGAGGGGCGGCGACGGCAGGGGCGGUGAGGGGAUCAAUCUGUGUGGGGUGAGAGGGGAUUCGAUAGGGAGAAGAAGAGAGAGAGGCCGAAUGAUGAGGACGAGCGGAUAAGUACGUGUGGGGAGAGGGUGAGCGAGAAAGCGGGCUGACACGUGAGGGGAGGUACCCCUUUAGUACCGAGUGGGGGCUGAGCCUCAGGACGAAUGCUGAGUUUCCAAUAGUGUGGUUAGGUUAAAAACCUUUUGGUGAGGUUUGUUUGGUAACGCCUGCCGUUGACCUACAAAUUUGUAGCCGCGUAUGCUUUUUUUUUUCACCGUGCGAUUUUAUUUCCAACCACUGGAGCAUAGCGUUGCACUAAAUGACCAAACCUCUGCUGAAACUCUGACCAAAAUAAAAUUAGCAGUAGUCUCAUCUUACCAGCCACCUUUUGGUUUGGCAUUUUGCGGUUAUUUUUAUCUGAAACAGUGAAAUGAAGAUGAGGACGACCAUACUAGGAGAGAAGCAUGCCGCUGAAGCAAUAAUACAGGUGUCUGUUGACGACGCGCUAUCCCUCUACAGUGCAUGGAUCAACAUGAUCUCAAUAAAGCACGAAAAGGUAUGGGGUCGAUAAUUGAAGGAUCAGUCAUUUUUUCGUUUUAUUUCAUCGGAGUUUACAGAGAACAUUAGAUUACGUGAAUAGAAAAUGUUUUGAAUUGAAAACCCAUCCCAAAUCCUCCACACCGUUUUUAAUUUGUCUCUCAGGUGGUUUAGGCCGGGCUGGUUGUAGUGGGCACAAGUGGGCUCCGUCUGUUAGUAUUUCGGCCUGUUCUAUUUGAACCAGCCCAGCCCAUUGCACCCAAAGCUGCUGCUGGGCCGCCCCCUCUGGCUUGUUACCAGUUCGGUUCAGGCCUGCUUAAGUGACCUAGACACGUGGCGGGCCGGGUGGAUGCGCCAUCGAACCCAUCAGCGCUCUAAUAAAAAGAAAAUUCCAUCAAAGGUCUCAUCCGAAUUUCGUUACCUUUUUAAGAGAAACGAAAUUACAGAGUUUUGCACAGUAUUGCAGGUUUAAUUACAAACCGAAGAGCCAAAAGAUAGAUCUUCAGUAACCAGACACAGAUGGCCUGCUCGCUAAAGAGGACUCACUUAGAAUCGUUUACAGAGACUAUUACUACCACCGUACUAGCGAGUAAAAUAUUCGAGAGAAGAACUAGCAGCAGGAUCUUCCUAUGAUGUAGUCUUUCUCAGGUGGUGUUGCAUGAGAGUGGAAGUGGAGCGCGUUUCCUUCAUCGCUUCUGCGCUGUCUUACAGGUUCCGCGGGGUAAUACUUGUAUGAAAAAAAACCAUGUGUUCCGCAGGGUAAUAAAUGCAUUAAAAAGGGUAAAUUUUAGCAAAGGGAACAGCUACGGUUGGUGGGAACUUGCUUUAUUAGGAAAAACAUUUAGUAGCUUAUAUGCUUGGGAGGGUUAAAUUUUGAAGACGCAGUACUAAUUAGCGAACAUUUGGUAUAUGAGGAUUUUUUACUUCUUUUCAUAGAGAAAUAUGAAAUUCAGACGGAUACGGAAAAAAAUAUGAAAUUCAGACGGAUAUGACAAGCCAAGCCAAGGCUCAGCUGACUUGAAUUUGUCGCGGUGGUGGCGGUGGUUGUGAAAUUUCUGAAAUUGCAGGACCUGCUUCUGUAUCUGGCUCUGGCUGUCAUCACUCGUUCGGUUUCGUCCACUUUGGAGGCUUUGCCAGAUGGCCAGAUGCGCCCUUUACGUAGCCUCCGCCGCUCCGCGACACAGCGCAUCAAAGUUCACAGCAAAACGGCAGUAAGGAUUCUAGCAAACAAGACCAUCGGGUUGGUUUUCAACUCGAAUUCCUGGUGGAUCUGGCGGUAUCACGUUCACCUCAGGAAUCAGGAUGGGCUUGUUCAGGUUCGGUCUUCUAGACCUCCCGGUAGCUGCUUCUUCAGUACUUCGCAGCAUUGUUUUCCUGCAAGAAGACACACACGGCCGCAGUACAUGUAGGAUGGUAAAGGGUUUUAAAUUUAAUCUAGCAAAUUUAAAGAUCGUACUUAAUAAGGAUUGGUUUAUAUAUGAUUUUAAGCUAAAAAUAGAUAGAAUUGAGUUGGAUUGUGAAUGAGGUAUAAAGGACAUGGUUAUUACCGCACGUUGUGAAGCUGCUACGGUUCCGUUGCUGGCGAGGCUGCAGAGAUCGGUCUCUCCAGAAACCGGCAACACGCGAGCAACAGAGGAGCCAUCCACGGGAACUACACGUCGACAGGUAACGUGCACAGCUGUCUGUAGAAAAGAAAAAUACUGAAUACGUAUGUGCCCCCAUGCGUCAGCAGCUUCAGACCUGCACAGAUCCUACUCCGCGCACAUAAAGUCUAUCCACCUCCUGACCACGCGUAAAGCAACUCCAAGAGGCAGCUAAUCUUACCCACUCGAUAUUUUUUUUGAAAAAAGAGAGAAAAAAUAAACUCCAACAAUCCACCUAAACAUUCCCUAAUUUUUUAGCGAUGCUAAAAAAUAACCUGCCACCGCGUAUAUUUUAGCGUUGGCGUUCCUCCCCCAAUCCUAAUUCCCGCACGCCCGUGCGUCCCUUCCGAUGGGCCCAAUACAAUAACGUGCCCUGUGUUUGAAAUAUUGGGGGCUAUUUAUUAGCGAUCUGCUGCGGACUGAUAUGUUUUUAGGGGAAAUUUUUUUUGGAGAACUUCCAAUACAUAGUUUUGGGAAGAAUUUUUUAGGAUACUCUUGGAGUUGCUCUUUAGGCCCUGUUUGUUUCCACCCUCCUAAAAUUUUAGCUCCUAAAAAGUGAUUAAAAAGGGACUAAAGAGCCAAACAUUAUGACUAAAAGUGACUAAAAACAUUUAGGAGGCUUCAAUUUCUUUAGGAGCUCCACCCCUCCUAAAAUCUAAAGCUCAUCUUGGACCCCCACUACCCUCAUUUAUUGCCCUCCUCUCUCUCACCCUCCCUCCCGCCUAGGCCAUCCCCGCCAUUCCGCCCGCCGGCGGCGUCCUUCCCGCCGCCUGCCGUCGCCGCACGGCAACCCCACCCCCGCCGCCCCCGCUUCCUUGCGCUGCCACACGGGCCGGCCGGGCGCUCCCCUGCUGGAUCCCCGCCGCCGCCGGAUCCAGGCGAGGGAGGACUGGGAGGGGAGCGGCGGUGCCGGGGAAGAAGAGAAGGGGGAGGGGCGCGGCGGUAGGGAUUCGAGGGGAGGGGGCGGCGCCAGCGUGAGGAGGGGAGGGGGCGAUGGCCGGGGAAAGAAGAGGAGGGGAGGGGCGCGGCGGCCGAGUAGGGGGUGGCGGCCGGGGGAAGGAGAGAGGGGAGGGGCACCGGCCGCCGCCGGCUGGGGCAGUGAGAGGGAGGGGCGCCGGCGGGAGGAGGGUGCGUGUGUGCAGGGUACAGGCAUGUGCGUUUAUGUGGAUAAAGUAUGGGCAUCAUCCACGCCAAACUCAUGGUGCUUUUGUAUUUGCCGGCCUUGGUUGAUGUGCAGUUUUCCUCAUGUCCGUUUUCCUUGACUGACAACCAGUACAUUGAUGAUGCACGGGUAUGUGAAGCUGUUUUGCAAAUAAAAGAAGAAUUUCCAGCCCUAAACUACUGAAAUUAGGUGAUACAUGGAGUAUCCGAGGAACUGGCUAAGAUUAUUUGUCCUUUUGUACCUCGAUUGAUGUUCGCAUGCCAGCCAUAGCUGUACUUGACUUGUGGUUUGGAUCGCUACUGUACUACUAUCUGAACAUGAAGAACCAGGGAGCGUUGGCAACGAAAAAUUAUCUGUCCCACUCGGUACCUUUUAACUUACAUCAACACAAGUUCCAGGGGCUGCCAUUACCAUACAUGCCUUGCAAAUGGCAAACAUUAGCGAUGAUGUCGCAGCCCGGAUACAACUUUUCAAACAGUAACUAUGUAGGGGAGGAAAAAAAACAAGGAACAAAACAAAGUACAAUCAGCUACGCACAUCUGGACACCUUGAGGACCCUGGGUCUGACCACUCUGCAACUCGCUAUCUUUGUCUGUACUGUAUCCACUCUUCACUCCAUCAUCUCCUUGGGGACAGGGCAUGGCUCCUCUGUUCAGCAGAUGGACAGGGGCUCGCCGUUCCACUCCUUGAGGCACUCGAGCACGGCGUCGAUGUGCUUGCCCAGAUUCAUGGCCACGAACACCUUGUCCACCUCCUCGCCGGGGGACCUCGUCUUCUCUCCGGUCAGGUACUGGGUGCCGAGCUCCUCGCGCACGAACCUGUACAGCGGGUACGACCGGCACUCGGCGAUCCUGUUCGGGAUCGCGGCGGUGCCGUUCUCCACGGCGGCACGAGCGGCCUCCACCUCCCGCGGCAGAGCCGCGCGGAUCUCCUCCUCGAACGUGGCGACCUUGGCGAACACCGAGGUCUCCGGGUCGCGCUCGGCCUCGCCGUUGGCCAGCGCGUGCUCGACGAGCACCGACCGCAUCUUCUGCAUCAGCGGGUAGUUAGCGCUGCAGGAGUCGUCGGCGUACGCGAACACCGCCUCGCGGUCGAUCGCCGUGAGCAGGUCCUUCUCGCAGAAGCGCGCGUUGUGGAGGGCGCCGGUGGCGCCGGUGCUUAGGGUCUUCUUGGCCACCGUCAUCACGCAGCUCUUCACGGCGCCCUUCAGGUUCUCCUCCAGGUGGCGCAGGUCGAUGGCCUGGCACAGCGCGAUAAGGAACGUCGACGACAUGAGCUUCAGGAUGUCCACGGCCUCGGCCGUCUUCCUGGACGAGAUGAGGCCCAGGGAAUUGACGUCCUGGUUGUGCUGCUCCGCGCUCUGGACGUGGUUGGUCACGGGGUUGCCCAGGAACUGGAGCUCGGAGCAGUAGGAGGCCAUGGCGAUCUCGGCGCCUUUGAAGCCGUAGUCCAGGCUCGGGUUGCGCCCGCCGGACAGGUUGGAUGGCAGGCCGUUGUUGUAGAAGUCGUUCACGAGCUCGGAGAACUGCGCGAACAUGAGCUUGCCGAUCGCCGCGAUGGCGAGCCUGGUGUUGUCCAUGGACACGCCGAUGGGCGUGCCCUGGAAGUUGCCGCCGUGGAGCGCCUUGCCGCGGGAGACGUCGAUGAGCGGGUUGUCGUUGACGGAAUUGAUCUCGCGCUCGAUCGACUUGGUGGCGGCGCGGAUGACCUCGAUCUGGGGGCCCAGCCACUGCGGCGACGUGCGGAGCGCGUACCUGUCCUGCUUGGGCUUCAUCAGGGGGUCGAGCUCGCCGAGCUUCUUGGCGAGCUUCAUGUAGGAGCUGCCCUCCAGGAUGUGCUCCAUGAUGGCGGCGGCCUCGAUCUGGCCCGGGUGGUGCUUGAGCUUGUGGGUGAGGUGGUCGGUGUACUCGGGCUUGCCGUUCAUCACCUCGCAGAACACCGCGGAGAGGACCUCGGCGAGGACGGCGAGGACGUUGGCCUCGAAGAGCACCAUGGACGCGAGCCCGGAGCCCACCGCGGUGCCGUUCACCAUGGCGAGGCC